CUUCUUUAGAAUAUAUUUAAAGAUAAAGUCUGCUCAGUGUAUAUACAGAAUAAAUAGCUGCGGUAUCUUAACUGCACUAAGGUAGCAUAAUUAAUUGUCUUUUAAAUGGUGACUUGUUUGAAUGGCUUAUUGAGAAAAAAACUUUUUUUGAAUCUUUUUUAAAUUAUAAUUUUUGGUAAAAAUACCUAAAUAAAAAAGAAAGACGAGAAGACCCUGUUGAGCUUUACAUUUUAUAAUAAUGUUUAAAUGGGAAAUUUAAUUUUUUUUUAAUAUUUUGAAGAUCCUAAAAACCUUUAUAUAUUUUGGAAGUAGGAUAAAGUUACCACAGGGAUAACAGGACUAUAUUUACUAAGAGUUCUAAUCGAAGUAAAUGAUUGUUACCUCGAUGUUGAAUCGAAAAUUCUUUUUGGUGUAGAGACUAAUUAAGAAGGUCUGUUCGACCUUUAAAUUUUC
This 453-nucleotide ribosomal RNA is filed under the name Callioplana marginata. RNAcentral describes it as "partial 16S ribosomal RNA". It matches the Rfam family "Bacterial large subunit ribosomal RNA", at positions 1829 to 2597 of the family's 2925-position model. The record is from RNAcentral. Lineage: Eukaryota; Metazoa; Platyhelminthes; Polycladida; Callioplanidae.